This 80-nucleotide microRNA precursor is filed under the name Cricetulus griseus (Chinese hamster). RNAcentral describes it as "mir-199 microRNA precursor family". It matches the Rfam family "mir-199 microRNA precursor family". From Rfam's summary of the family: This family consists of the microRNA (miRNA) precursor mir-199 which appears to be specific to humans. Animal miRNAs are transcribed as ~70nt precursors and subsequently processed by the Dicer enzyme to give a ~22nt product. Lineage: Eukaryota; Metazoa; Chordata; Mammalia; Rodentia; Cricetidae. The record is from Rfam by way of RNAcentral.
ACUCCGUCUACCCAGUGUUUAGACUACCUGUGCAGGACUCCCAAAUUGUACAGUAGUCUGCACAUUGGUUAGGCUGGGCU